AGAGAUGAGGGAGUGCUCGAAGAGAGCCGUAACACAGGUGCUGCAUGGCUGUCGUCAGCCCGUGUCGUGAGAUGUUGGGUUAAGUCCCGCAACGAGCGCAACCCUUGCCAUUAGUUGCUACGAAAGGGCACUCUAAUGGGACUGCCGGUGACAAACCGGAGGAAGGUGGGGAUGACGUCAAGUCCUCAUGGCCCUUAUAGGUGGGGCUACACACGUCAUACAAUGGCUGGUACAGAGGGUUGCCAACCCGCGAGGGGGAGCCAAUCCCAUAAAGCCAGUCGUAGUCCGGAUCGCAGUCUGCAACUCGACUGCGUGAAGUCGGAAUCGCUAGUAAUCGCGGAUCAGAAUGUCGCGGUGAAUACGUUCCCGGGUCUUGUACACACCGCCCGUCACACCAUGGGAGCGGGUCUCGCCAGAAGUAGGUAGCCUAACCGCAAGGAGGGCGCUUACCACGGCGGGGUUCGUGACUGGGGUGAAGUCGUAACAAGGUAAGCGUAGUGCU
RNAcentral lists this ribosomal RNA (502 nucleotides) under uncultured bacterium. Its description in RNAcentral is "bacterial SSU rRNA". It matches the Rfam family "Bacterial small subunit ribosomal RNA", at positions 1002 to 1509 of the family's 1533-position model. The record is from RNAcentral.